This 2243-nucleotide ribosomal RNA is filed under the name Salmonella enterica. RNAcentral describes it as "partial 23S ribosomal RNA". It matches the Rfam family "Bacterial large subunit ribosomal RNA", at positions 711 to 2925 of the family's 2925-position model. Lineage: Bacteria; Pseudomonadati; Pseudomonadota; Gammaproteobacteria; Enterobacterales; Enterobacteriaceae. The record is from RNAcentral.
AGACCCGAAACCCGGUGAUCUAGCCAUGGGCAGGUUGAAGGUUGGGUAACACUAACUGGAGGACCGAACCGACUAAUGUUGAAAAAUUAGCGGAUGACCUGUGGCUGGGGGUGAAAGGCCAAUCAAACCGGGAGAUAGCUGGUUCUCCCCGAAAGCUAUUUAGGUAGCGCCUCGUGAAUUCAUCUCCGGGGGUAGAGCACUGUUUCGGCUAGGGGGCCAUCCCGGCUUACCAACCCGAUGCAAACUGCGAAUACCGGAGAAUGUUAUCACGGGAGACACACGGCGGGUGCUAACGUCCGUCGUGAAGAGGGAAACAACCCAGACCGCCAGCUAAGGUCCCAAAGUCAUGGUUAAGUGGGAAACGAUGUGGGAAGGCCCAGACAGCCAGGAUGUUGGCUUAGAAGCAGCCAUCAUUUAAAGAAAGCGUAAUAGCUCACUGGUCGAGUCGGCCUGCGCGGAAGAUGUAACGGGGCUAAACCAUGCACCGAAGCUGCGGCAGCGACGCUUAUGCGUUGUUGGGUAGGGGAGCGUUCUGUAAGCCUGUGAAGGUGGCCUGUGAGGGUUGCUGGAGGUAUCAGAAGUGCGAAUGCUGACAUAAGUAACGAUAAAGCGGGUGAAAAGCCCGCUCGCCGGAAGACCAAGGGUUCCUGUCCAACGUUAAUCGGGGCAGGGUGAGUCGACCCCUAAGGCGAGGCCGAAAGGCGUAGUCGAUGGGAAACGGGUUAAUAUUCCCGUACUUGGUGUUACUGCGAAGGGGGGACGGAGAAGGCUAUGUUGGCCGGGCGACGGUUGUCCCGGUUUAAGCGUGUAGGUGUGUGUUCCAGGUAAAUCCGGUUCACUUUAACACUGAGGCGUGACGACGAGGCACUACGGUGCUGAAGCAACAAAUGCCCUGCUUCCAGGAAAAGCCUCUAAGCAUCAGGUAACAUCAAAUCGUACCCCAAACCGACACAGGUGGUCAGGUAGAGAAUACCAAGGCGCUUGAGAGAACUCGGGUGAAGGAACUAGGCAAAAUGGUGCCGUAACUUCGGGAGAAGGCACGCUGACAUGUAGGUGAAGUGAUUUACUCACGGAGCUGAAGUCAGUCGAAGAUACCAGCUGGCUGCAACUGUUUAUUAAAAACACAGCACUGUGCAAACACGAAAGUGGACGUAUACGGUGUGACGCCUGCCCGGUGCCGGAAGGUUAAUUGAUGGGGUCAGCGCAAGCGAAGCUCCUGAUCGAAGCCCCGGUAAACGGCGGCCGUAACUAUAACGGUCCUAAGGUAGCGAAAUUCCUUGUCGGGUAAGUUCCGACCUGCACGAAUGGCGUAAUGAUGGCCAGGCUGUCUCCACCCGAGACUCAGUGAAAUUGAACUCGCUGUGAAGAUGCAGUGUACCCGCGGCAAGACGGAAAGACCCCGUGAACCUUUACUAUAGCUUGACACUGAACAUUGAGCCUUGAUGUGUAGGAUAGGUGGGAGGCUUUGAAGUGUGGACGCCAGUCUGCAUGGAGCCGACCUUGAAAUACCACCCUUUAAUGUUUGAUGUUCUAACGUGGACCCGUAAUCCGGGUUGCGGACAGUGUCUGGUGGGUAGUUUGACUGGGGCGGUCUCCUCCUAAAGAGUAACGGAGGAGCACGAAGGUUGGCUAAUCCUGGUCGGACAUCAGGAGGUUAGUGCAAUGGCAUAAGCCAGCUUGACUGCGAGCGUGACGGCGCGAGCAGGUGCGAAAGCAGGUCAUAGUGAUCCGGUGGUUCUGAAUGGAAGGGCCAUCGCUCAACGGAUAAAAGGUACUCCGGGGAUAACAGGCUGAUACCGCCCAAGAGUUCAUAUCGACGGCGGUGUUUGGCACCUCGAUGUCGGCUCAUCACAUCCUGGGGCUGAAGUAGGUCCCAAGGGUAUGGCUGUUCGCCAUUUAAAGUGGUACGCGAGCUGGGUUUAGAACGUCGUGAGACAGUUCGGUCCCUAUCUGCCGUGGGCGCUGGAGAACUGAGGGGGGCUGCUCCUAGUACGAGAGGACCGGAGUGGACGCAUCACUGGUGUUCGGGUUGUCAUGCCAAUGGCACUGCCCGGUAGCUAAAUGCGGAAGAGAUAAGUGCUGAAAGCAUCUAAGCACGAAACUUGCCCCGAGAUGAGUUCUCCCUGAGACUUAGAGUCUCCUGAAGGAACGUUGAAGACGACGACGUUGAUAGGCCGGGUGUGUAAGCGCAGCGAUGCGUUGAGCUAACCGGUACUAAUGAACCGUGAGGCUUAACCUUACAA